GAGUAUCUUCUAAUGGGAAUCCCUGGAGAUAGAGAAAGUCAGGCAGUGGUUGACCCUCCUCCCCAGGCUGUGAGUACCAGAACUCCUCAGUCUCCAGCAGUAUCUGCAGCUGCAGCAACCAGGACAGCAAAGACAACCACUUCUGAAGGCCACCCUCUUGAAUUUUUAUGGAAUCAGCCUCACUUUCAACAGAUGAGACAAAUUAUACAGAAGAAUCCUCCCUUGCUUCCAGCCUUGUUACAGCAGGCAGGUUGGGAGAACCGUCAGUUUCUGCAGCAAAUUAGCCAACAGCAAGAGCAUUUUAUUCAGAUGCUAAAUGUACCAGUUCAGGAAGCAAGUGGUCAAAGUGGAGGAGGAGGUGGCAGAGGAGGCUAUGGAGGUAGAGGUGGUGGAGGAAUUGCAGAAGCUGGAAAUGGGCACAUGAACUACAUUCAAGUAACACCUCAGGAGAAAAAAAGCUAGAAUGCUUAAAAGAAUUAGGAUUUCCUGAAGAACUUGUGAUUCAAACCUAUUUUGCUUGUGAGAAGAAUGAAAAUCUGGCUGCCAACUAACUCUCUUCUACAGCAGAACUUUGAUGAAGCCUGA
Molecule: long non-coding RNA, 585 nt
Filed under: Mus musculus (house mouse)
Lineage: Eukaryota; Metazoa; Chordata; Mammalia; Rodentia; Muridae
Description: long non-coding RNA chr6:90235688-90236273
Source: RNAcentral